ACGCGAGAACACGGCUUCGUUUACCCUCCGAAGCCAAAGGUCGUUGGUUCGAAUCCAAUACCGCGUACCA
This 70-nucleotide transfer RNA is filed under the name Magnetococcales bacterium. RNAcentral describes it as "tRNA-OTHER". The record is from RNAcentral. Lineage: Bacteria; Pseudomonadati; Pseudomonadota; Magnetococcia; Magnetococcales.